ACUUGACCAUGUGGAUCUUCAACAUCUCAGCUACUUUUCUAAACCAUCAAAGGCUACUUGAAGUGGAUAGAUAGGUCAGCACAGUUUUUGCUAUUCCAUGACAGUUAAUAAGGCUGACAGAAGUACCAAAGGCAAAGCCAUACCCAGAUGCAUUUUUUCCAGUGAGAGUAAAUUGCUGUCCCUUCUGUGAUAGAGGGGAUCUAACGUAAGUAACCUGCCACUAAGUGCCCAUAUCAGGGCUCAGUGUUGGUCUCUAGUCUUUGCUGUUGGCAGGUCAGGCACUCAGUAGGUCAGUCUUGGUGAGGGGAAGUCCAUCUUGCUGAGUCAUUAUAUAAGCCUCCCUCCUUGCCAGCAUGGCCACUCUUGUACAUGGGCCCACUGAGCAGUCAUUAGGAUGACUGGAAAAAGAGGCUAAUUACUACAAAGUACGUCAUCUUGUCCUGAUUAUUGAGAGCCUCUCUGUCUUAAUUCAGGUUCAGCAAGGCCUUUGAGAAGUCCUCAAGCCAAGGCCAGCCACCACAAGAGACCCAUGUAUACUUUAGUAUUCCUGCUAUUCUCAUUUGCUGGAAACAGCCCAUGGGAAGUGUGACCUAGCACAGGUGUGGUGAUAAAUUUCAGAGUGCAACAGCUGGGGCACAUGGUUAAUUAUGUUCCGUGUAGUUGCAUGUCUACAAGGUACAUUCUAAUGGAUGUACUGUGUCCUUUUGGUGAACGUUCGCCUAAAGCACAAUAAUCUUCAAUUCUCUGCCUAUUCUGAGAGGUCCAUCUAUAGCCUCCUCCCACCCCCAGACCCGGUCACGUGUCUUAGAAAUCUGUUUUUCCCAAGUCCGGAAGUCAUCAAACCAUUAGUUACUGCCCUUGAAUACUAGCAUUUAGAUCCAUACUUGUGGAUAGUGCUAGUUCAGAAAUAGCAGACAACCACUUGUACUGCUCAGGAUUCUCCUUAGGAAGAUUUCCCUUUCAUUAAGAUCUUUCAAAGACGUACUUGACUGAGGUUGUAAUGUUGCAGCAGAUUUUGCGGCUCCCAGCUGGUACUAACUGGUACUAUUAGGCAAAAUAAACUGUAAACCAGAUCUAAAUUUCUUGUUAGUCAGCUGGUCAUAAGUAACUUCUCGUGCAGCCAAAGUUAAAGACUGAGAAAAAGGAAGCCUUGUAAUGGGAGUAGGUGUCAAAGGAAUUGAAUCACCUACUCAGGCAACUUGCUUUUGUGUUCUACACCUGCUUGAUCUCUCUCCCUCGUAUACCACUUCCAUUUGAUGAUAGGCUGCUGCUGUGCACAUUCUAGUUUAUGACUUACUGAAUCACACAGCACCCAGUGCCAUAGAGCUCUUUCUCAAAAGGAAAAUCAGUUAUCUUCAAAAGAGGGUAUGGAUUUGCUCCCAAGCCCUAGAGGUAUAUGCUUUGAUCCUCCUAUUGGCAUUUGCCAAAGGCUCCAUACAGAAUCCUUAGUUGCCACAUUUAAUGUCUUCAAAUCGUUGGUCUUAAAUUUCAAGUGGCAGAGUAGCUGGCCCUACACUAUGGACUUGCUACAGAGCCUUUUCCACUCCACUCAAAACUGGCAGUGUUAUGGCAAAUGAGUCAGAGCGAUACACUCAAAUGUGGUACGUGUUGCCUCCAAAAGCCAAAAAGACGCACCAAGCAUCAAGCCUCUAUUGCAGUGGUAGGUGAUACAAGGUACAGCAACUUAUAUUUCACCUGGAAAGAACUAUUGCAGCAUGCUCCAGGCCAUUAGCACAUCAGAAAUUUCGUCAAGGUGCAUGAGUCCCUGGAUUUUUAUUGGGUUUAUCUUCCACUCUCUGAUCUCACAUGCCUUUUACUAAAGCAUCUGAAGUGCUGGCUACUAUCUUCAUAUCAGAUCCAAUCUGCACGUCAUCAGUGAAGUGGACCAGGGUGAUGUACUGUGAAAUGUCAAGAUGAUCACAAUCUCUGCAGAUUAUACUAUGACAGCCCUACUGGAAGACUAUAAAGGUGGUCUCAGCUCUGCAAGGAUACAGUCACCCUUUUAAAGACUGCAGGCCUCUGGGGAAGUGUUGAAAGAAGGUUUAUAGAAUAUACUGUGGCUGUGUCAUGGAGUCCUUAAGAGAACUCAGCAUGUCCUUCAGUCAAGGGGCUCUAGUGCCCCCUAUUGGCUGACUAACAGAAGAUCAGCUGGCAAAGGAGAAUGAUUUGCAAAGUCCCAGCCUUGACACGGAGCCAAGUUCAAAGCUAAGAGACCUUAUAGCUUAAUAACCCUGGAGGGGGACCCCUGGCUGGCUCAGCCGUUUAGUGCCUGCCUUCGGCCCAAGGUGUGAUCCUGGAGUCCCUGGAUCGAGUCCCUGGAUCGAGUCCCUGGAUC
This is a long non-coding RNA of Canis lupus familiaris (dog), 2335 nucleotides long. RefSeq lists it as uncharacterized. The record is from RefSeq and is a predicted model, not a curated record. The transcript has 3 exons. NCBI's taxonomy places the organism in Eukaryota, Metazoa, Chordata, Mammalia, Carnivora, Canidae.